This 1372-nucleotide long non-coding RNA is filed under the name Sus scrofa (pig). Its description in RNAcentral is "lncRNA (ENSSSCG00060039990.1)". Lineage: Eukaryota; Metazoa; Chordata; Mammalia; Artiodactyla; Suidae. The record is from RNAcentral.
UGUGACAAACUAUUAAGCAACACCAUCCUUAGACCCAGGCGAGGGCAGUCUCUGCCGUUGCUUAGCAGGGCCCUAAUCUGUCCUUCUUGAAGUCGCAGUCCUGGCCCACAGAUGACUGAAAUGACCAAAGAACUAGAAAAAAAUCCUUGCAUACCCACCUGCCAUAGUGUCCUAGAGCUGCCAUAACAAAGCACUGCACAUUGGGUGAUUACAGCAACAGAAAUUUAUUCUCUCCCAGUUCCAGAAGUUGGAAGUCAAGGUAUCAGUCGGGCCAGGCUCCCCCAGAGGCUGCAGGGGAGAAUCCUCCUUCACCACUUCCAGCUCCUGAAGGCUGCGGGCAAGGCUUGCAUUGCUCAACUCCUAUGCAGCUUCCCCCUUCCAGUCUCUGCCUUCAUCUUCACAUGGGCUUCUUCCUUCUGAGUGUAUCUCGGUGUGGUCUCUCCUCGUCUUAGAAGGACAGCAGUCACUGGACUUAGGGCGCACCAUACCCCUGUAUGAUAUCCUCUCAACAGUUACAUCUGCAAACACCCCAUUUCCAGUUAAGGUCACAUCCUGAGGUUCCUGGUGGAUGUGGAGUUUGGGGAGACAUUAUUCAACCCUGUACAAAGACUCUUGUUUUUUGUUUCUGUCUCUGUUUCUUUGUCUCUGUCAUUCUCUCUUCUUUGCAGGAUGAGUUAGCUUUGUAAAAAUUAAUUGGGACACUUUUAAAUUUUUUAUACCCUGAAAACAAUUCGAUCAUAUAGAAAUUCUCUCUUCCUUUAAGGUUUGACAGAAUUUGCCCAACGCCUCCCCCAAAUUGCCUAAGUUCACGUUUCAUCAAAGUCUUGCAGAGUUCUUUAUCAGCUGCUUCUGUGACUUUUCAUCUUGUUGAAUUUUUCUGCCUAUUCUUGAGUGGAUUAUAUUGUCUUAUUUUGGUUAAUAUUUUAUUAGCAUAAAUUUAAACACAGUGUGCUUUUAGCUUGAAUCCUCUUUCAUGUCUUUGUCUCUCAUCCCUUUUAUAUUUCUAGAGCUGUUUAUUUGCAUUUUUUUCUUUUUUUUCCUCAUGCAAACUAGCCAGAGGUUUGUCUCAUUUAUUGGUCUUUUUUUUUUUUUUUUUUUUUUUUUUUUUUUUUGCGCAUGGUUCCUAGUCGGAUUCGUUUCCACUGUGCCACGAUGGGAACUCCUUAUUGAUCUUUUAAAAGAGUUAGCUCUUUGAUUUGUCUUAUCAAUUCUAUUGUUUUCUGUUUUCUAAUUUGCUUUUGUCUGCUUUUCUCUUUCCUUCUUUCCUUCUGCCACCCUUAGAUUUAUUUUAUUAGUUUUUAAUCUCAGUUGUUUAGUUAAUUGCUUUUUUAUUCAUUUUUAUCUUAUAACAAAACCACUUAGCUUUAUCUUU